AAUGGCUGGUGAACCCACUGAAGCUAAGCAGGGCUGAGCCUGGUCAGUACCUGGAUGGGAGACCUCCUGGGAAAACUAGGUUGCUGCCGGAA
This 92-nucleotide ribosomal RNA is filed under the name Sinocyclocheilus rhinocerous. Lineage: Eukaryota; Metazoa; Chordata; Actinopteri; Cypriniformes; Cyprinidae. The record is from RNAcentral.